This 782-nucleotide ribosomal RNA is filed under the name Prymnesium sp. RCC1191. RNAcentral describes it as "bacterial SSU rRNA". It matches the Rfam family "Bacterial small subunit ribosomal RNA", at positions 505 to 1294 of the family's 1533-position model. The record is from RNAcentral. Lineage: Eukaryota; Haptophyta; Prymnesiales; Prymnesiaceae.
GUGCCAGCAGCCGCGGUAAUACGGGGGAUGCAAGCGUUAUCCGGAAUCAUUGGGCGUAAAGCGCCUGUAGGUUGUUUAAUAAGUCCGUUGUUAAAGACUAGGGCUUAACCCUAGAAAAGCGAUGGAAACUACUAGACUUGAGUAUGGCAGGGGUAGAGGGAAUUUCUAGUGUAGCGGUGAAAUGCGUAGAUAUUAGAAAGAACACCGGUGGCGAAAGCGCUCUACUGGACCAUUACUGACACUCAGAGGCGAAAGCUAGGGUAGCAAAAGGGAUUAGAUACCCCUGUAGUCCUAGCCGUAAACGAUGGAUACUAGAUGUUGUAUGUAUUUUACAGUAUCGUAGCUAACGCGUUAAGUAUCCCGCCUGGGGAGUACGCUCGCAAGGGUGAAACUCAAAGGAAUUGACGGGGGCCCGCACAAGCGGUGGAGCAUGUGGUUUAAUUCGAUGCAACGCGAAGAACCUUACCAGGGCUUGACAUACUGCGAAUCUUUUUGAAAGGAAAGAGUGCCUUCGGGAAUGCAGAUACAGGUGGUGCAUGGCUGUCGUCAGCUCGUGUCGUGAGAUGUUGGGUUAAGUCCCGCAACGAGCGCAACCCUUAUUUUUAGUUACCAAUUUACUUGGGUUCUCUAGAAAGACUGCCGGUGACAAACCGGAGGAAGGUGAGGAUGACGUCAAGUCAGCAUGCCCCUUAUGUCCUGGGCUACACACGUGCUACAAUGGUUGGGACAAAGAGUUGCAAGUUUGCAAAAACAAGCUAAUCUCAUAAACCUAACCUAAGUUC